CAGGGAACAACUCGAGUUCCUGGAGUUCCAGUUUCGCACGGUUCGUCUCAACCCUCUCUUGUCGAAGCUCAAGCCCUCUCUCGCCUCUCCUCGCCGAAGCAAGCUCCUCUGGCCCAAGCCCCUCUCUCGGAAGCUCUUCACAAAAACCCAUUACAGUGCCUUCAUCCCUUCGUGAUAAGAUCUCUCUCCACUGAAACAGCCUUCCCCUCAUCGUGCUCCUCUCUGUCUCGGUUCCUCCCGUCUCUCUCUGUACGUCCAGAUCUGCGGUAGAGGAACUGUGCCUGCAUCCAGAUCUGCAACAAUGCCACAGUUGUUUUCCGGCUGACCCCCUAUUUGUUGUAACCCAUUAUAGUGACGGGGCGCGAAGACCCCCUCCUCACCCAAAAACCCACGACGCCCUCCCUCUGCCCAGCACCACCCCGCAACACCCUCCCUCUGUUCAGCGCCACCCCGCAAUGCUCCUCCUUCUGCCCAGCAACUGCCCCUCCCCGCGAGCUCAUUCAACGGAGCAAACCAGGUGGAUCUUGAGAAAAAUAGACAAAAAUAGUCGGUGGAGCUCUGUUUCACCGCCAUCCCUCUGCUGAGCUUCGUAGUUUUAGUGUGAUGGGGGAAGAGGAAGAUGAAAUGCCACCCAGGCCUUCGAUAUCGACUUCACAGUUGUAUGUUCGUCCCAUAAAUCCA
Molecule: long non-coding RNA, 681 nt
Organism: Juglans regia (Persian walnut)
Lineage: Eukaryota; Viridiplantae; Streptophyta; Magnoliopsida; Fagales; Juglandaceae
Exons: 3
Source: RefSeq, a predicted model, not a curated record